This 309-nucleotide ribosomal RNA is filed under the name uncultured bacterium. Its description in RNAcentral is "bacterial SSU rRNA". It matches the Rfam family "Bacterial small subunit ribosomal RNA", at positions 28 to 339 of the family's 1533-position model. The record is from RNAcentral.
GAUGAACGCUAGCGGCAGGCUUAACACAUGCAAGUCGAGGGGUAUGCUUCUUCGGAAGCAGAGACCGGCGCACGGGUGCGUAACGCGUAUGCAAUCUACCUUUUACAGAGGGAUAGCCCAGAGAAAUUUGGAUUAAUACCUCAUAGUAUUAUAGAAUGGCAUCAUCUUAUAAUUAAAGUCACAAACGGUAAAAGAUGAGCAUGCCGUCCCAUUAGCAGUUGGUAAGGUAACGGCUUACCAAGGCUACGAUGGGGUAGGGUCCUGAGAGGGAGACUCCCCACACUGGUACUGAGACACGGACCAGACUCC